This 468-nucleotide ribosomal RNA is filed under the name uncultured bacterium. RNAcentral describes it as "partial 16S ribosomal RNA". It matches the Rfam family "Bacterial small subunit ribosomal RNA", at positions 28 to 507 of the family's 1533-position model. The record is from RNAcentral.
GACGAACGCUGGCGGCGUGCUUAACACAUGCAAGUCGAACGGAAAGGCCCUGCUUUUGUGGGGUGCUCGAGUGGCGAACGGGUGAGUAACACGUGAGUAACCUGCCCUUGACUUUGGGAUAACUUCAGGAAACUGGGGCUAAUACCGGAUAGGAGCUCCUGCUGCAUGGUGGGGGUUGGAAAGUUUCGGCGGUUGGGGAUGGACUCGCGGCUUAUCAGCUUGUUGGUGGGGUAGUGGCUUACCAAGGCUUUGACGGGUAGCCGGCCUGAGAGGGUGACCGGCCACAUUGGGACUGAGAUACGGACCAGACUCCUACGGGAGGCAGCAGUGGGGAAUAUGGCACAAUGGGCGGAAGCCUGAUGCAGCAACGUCGCGUGCGGGAUGACGGCCUUCGGGUGGUAAACCGCUUUCGCCUGUGACGAAGCGUGAGUGACGGUAAUGGGUAAAGAAGCACCGGCUAACUACGUG